AUGGAUGCACAGCAGGACAGACCCAAGUCCCAAGACUGCCUGGGCCUACUGGCCCCCCUAGCAUCUGCUGCAGAGGUCUCCUCUACAGCUCCCGUGUCUGGGAAGAAGCACAGACCACCAGGACCCCUGUUCUCCUCCUCAGAUCCCCUUCCUGCCACCUCUUCCCACUCCGGGGACUCAGCCCAGGACACCUCGCUGAUUCCUGCCCCCUUCACACCUGCAAGCAGGGAUGCCGGCAUCAGAAGAAUGUUUCGUGUUCGAAAUUGUUUGAGGGGUUUGGGUUUAUUUUUGUUGGUUUUUUCUUUUUUUUUUUUUGCUUACGUGGGCAUCCUUCAGCUUUUAAUAAUCUGAAAAAUUCUAUUUACCCAUUGUCAAUGUGUAUAAAUUAAUCUCAGUCAAUUUUAUACAAUAAAAGGUGAACUUUUAUCCAUCAAACAAUAAUUUAACAAAAAAUGUACCGGAAGAAGAAUGUUCAUUACAAAUAUAGGAAACAUAAAUAUUACCAAAUAUUGGCAAGCACUAAAAUGUUCAGAAAUAUAAGUCUAUUACAGUUAUAGCUCUCUCAAGCAAAAAAACAGCAGAGAAAAACUUAGUUUUCCUGAGGGGCUAUUUAUUUACUUAGGGAUUUGUUAAAAGGUCAAAUGGGGUCACACAGAAUACUAAGAAGAGCUGUUCACCCAGGCCUCACUAAGAACUCUUCUUCAUGCAGUAGCUAUAUAGUAAUAUGACAACUGCUCCUACGACCCACAGAGGAACUACAGCAACUACUCUUUAGCAUCUGUUGCUCCCAACUCUGCUUUGCAAUUAUAUGACUCAAGCAUUCUGGCUCCGUUAACUAUUACUGCUGUUACUCCCAAGUAAAUUCCCUCUAAAAAAUAAAAAUUUUUAAAGCUGUAAUUUAAGCUCUCUGCUGCCUCAUGACUUCAAUUCCAUCAGAGUUACGCAUUGUUUCCUCUGUACAUCUUUGCUCUGCUUCCAUUGCUAAUUCCCUAGUAAAGUGUUGUAUAUUCAAAGUUCCAAAGAAACAGAAUAUCCAAGACAUCACCAAUCAUCCAAAACACAGUGUAGGAGGCCACAGUUAAGAGAAGCAAGACCAUUAGCUCUUUUUAUAGGCUCGAGAACAACAGGAUGCUUUGGUCCUGUAUCAGCAGGAUGCUUUUUGGGUAGAUCCUACUGCCACCCUACUAUCGGGUAGAUCCUACUGUCACCCUAGCUAUGGGCACAUGUCAGAGUCCCAUGUAAUAAAGGAGACAAAAGGAAACCACCACGAGUAUAAACUAAGAAAAGUACUCCAAGGUUUCUAAGAAUGGAGCUGUAUAACUCACUUUGCCCCGUUUGUUACUUCUCCACGGUACUUACCACCACCUAUUACAUACAUUUUGUUUAUAGUCAGUCUUCCCCCAUUAGAAUGAAAGUUCCGUGAGGAUAGGACUAUACAGUCAGCCCUCAGUAUCCAUGGGGGACUGGUUUCAGGAUCUCCUGAGGGUAACAAAGGAUACUCAAGUCCCUGAUAUAAAAUGACAUAGUAUUUGCACAUCACCUUUGCACAUCCUCCCAUAUACUUCAUAUCAACUCUAGAUCACUCAUAAUAUCCGAUGUAAAUGUCAUGCAAAUAGUUAUUGUACUAUAUUGUGUAAGGAAUAAGGACAAGAAAAAAGUCUGUACAUGUUCAGUACAGACGCAAUUUUUUUUUCCAAUAUUUCCAAUCCUUGGUUGCCUUAACGGAUGUAGAACCCAGGAAUAAGUUCUGGUGUCCUAUUGCAUAGUAGGAUGAGUAUAGUUAACAAUAACAUAUUAUAUAUUUGAAAAUAGCCAGAAGAGUAGAUUUUGAAUUUUCUCCCUACAGAAAAAUCAUUAUGCAAAUUACCCUGAUUUGAUCAUUACACAUUGAGUACAUGUAUUAAAACAUCACAUUCUACCCCAUAUAUAUGUACAGUUAUUAUGUGUCCAUAAAAAUUUAAUGUCAAUGUGUGAAAUAAAAUGAAAAAAUAAAAAUUUUUAAAGCUGUAAUUAUCUCCAUCUGGUAGGAAUAUAUACAAUCUGAAAUAAAAAAUAUAUUUGUAAUUGUUAGGACAAAAUAGAUUAUACAUUAAGUCUGCAAAUUAUAAAUUAUAAAAUUCUCACAGAACCUGAAAAAUUAUUGAUACUGUUAAAUAUUUAAAAAGCUGUCCUUGGAGAGAAAGAAACCUAUCAGAUUUACAUCAACAAGUGUAAUAUGUCAGCCUAUUACCAUCUGCUACAGACUGCAUGUUUGUGUUCCCUCAAAAUUCAUAUGAUAGGCCCGGCGCGGUGGCUCAUGCCUGUAAUCCCAGCACUUUGGGAGGCCGAGGCGGGUGGAUCAUGAGGUCAGGAGAUCGAGAUCAUCCUGGCUAACAUGGUAAAACCCCGUCUCUACUGAAAAUACAAAAAAUUAGCCGGGCGCAGUGGCGGGCGCCUUAGUCCCAGCUACUGAGGAGGCUGACGCAGG
Molecule: long non-coding RNA, 2467 nt
Filed under: Homo sapiens (human)
Lineage: Eukaryota; Metazoa; Chordata; Mammalia; Primates; Hominidae
Description: HSALNT0327183
Source: RNAcentral